This 279-nucleotide ribosomal RNA is filed under the name uncultured bacterium. RNAcentral's name for it is "partial 16S ribosomal RNA". It matches the Rfam family "Bacterial small subunit ribosomal RNA", at positions 505 to 784 of the family's 1533-position model. The record is from RNAcentral.
GUGCAGCAGCCGCGGUAACACGGUGGGCGCGAGCGUUAUUCGGAAUUAUUGGGCGUAAAGGGCGCGCAGGCGGUCUUGUCCGUCAGGUGUGAAAGCUCGGGGCUCAACCCCGGAAGUGCACUUGAAACAGCAAGACUUGAAUGCAGGAGGGGUAAGCGGAAUUCCAGGUGUAGAGGUGAAAUUCGUAGAUAUCAGGAGGAACACCGAUGGCGAAGGCAUCUCUCUGGGCCGAUAUUGACGCUGAGGCGCGAAGGCGUGGGUAGCGAACGGGAUUAGAUA